AUCUCUGCUGUGAUGGGCCUGGUGAGUAUACUAAAAGCAGGAUAUAAGGACUUUUGUAGUGGAUUACAUUUAUCUUGUGCUUUCCAAGUUUGCCAUGCCAUUUGGUUAAGGUAGAAGAGAUAUAUUUGUUUGCUUGUUUAUAUACUACUGAGAUUAAAAAUUAGCAUUUCUCUCCAAUUUGACUUUUAUAGCCUUGCUAAUAUUUAUAACUAUGACUGUGAGCUUCUCAAUUGAUUCUUCACCAUGAUUAUCCAUGUAUCUACCUUCCUGCUGGAGUCUAUUAAUUAAUGAUGUAGAGUUUCGCUCCUUUAUUGUGUAAAUUAAGUUAGAUUUUGUAUAAAUGUGAGAUUUAAAAUUUGGGUAUUGUUAUUUCGGUUUGAAUUAGUACUUUCUUCCUGGCCAUUAUUUUCAGGAGUUAUGAUGCUUUUCCAAAAGAGUCAUGGUGAGAGCUUAUAACAGAAUUUCCUAUUUUAAGAAGUUUUUGGUUCUGCACCUCUCUGAACUCGGCACUUCUACUUGUUCAAAGCAACUUACUGUAGUACAUUGCAUUCAAGGAAAUUUUAUGAAGUGUCAAAAGAUUGUUGUUGGAUCAAAUUAUGAUUUAGAACAUUGGUUUAAUUUUUUUAUAACAUCAUUAUGGUGAACAAAUUUGAUUUUUAAACAAGUCUAUGAUGGAUGGAAAGAAAUCUCUUCAGUUUGUAUUUUGCUAGUUGGUGCUUGUGUUUGUUUUGUGCCAAUCCAAAAAGUGAAUAGUGUUGAUUCCAAAUUUCAAAUUUAUAUUUGUUCUCUCUUUGCUGGAUUUUGUCAUUUCAGGUAGAUUAUGAUGAGGCCAUCUUCUUAUGGCGUGUA
Molecule: unclassified non-coding RNA, 849 nt
Filed under: Hevea brasiliensis (rubber tree)
Lineage: Eukaryota; Viridiplantae; Streptophyta; Magnoliopsida; Malpighiales; Euphorbiaceae
Source: RNAcentral